Molecule: long non-coding RNA, 807 nt
Organism: Micropterus salmoides (largemouth bass)
Lineage: Eukaryota; Metazoa; Chordata; Actinopteri; Centrarchiformes; Centrarchidae
Exons: 4
Source: RefSeq, a predicted model, not a curated record
UGCGUUUGGCCAGAGUAAGCUAGGCUAGAAGAGUCGCUCACAUACUGAGGAUCCACUGCAUCAGCAGCUCAAGCAAAGAGCCAAAGAGUUACAACAAAUUGAACAAGCUCAGCUGCAGCAAAGAGAGGCCAACCUCACUGCUCUAGCUGCCAUUGGGCCUCGCAAGAAGAGACCUCUGGAGCAGACUGAAAGCCAGGUGACUCUGCUGCCCAGACAGGGUGUUCAGAGAGUGACUCGGAUCAUCCUGAGGGAUCUGCUGAUGUGUAUGGAGCAGGACCACUUCCUACGCCACUCUCUCACUCUGUACAAAGCGAUGAUCUGACCACCAUAAAUUACUCCUCCUACAGUUAAUGACUGAUAUUAAUCUGUAGAUUGUGUUUACGGGAUCCCAAGUUUUGGAAUCUUUUGUUUAUCUUUAUUUUAUUUUUUUUUACCUCAAAGAUUUUUGCGCUUUGGUUCAAUUCUAUGAAAUCUCUGUUUAUUAUCUAUUUAUUUUAGCAUGUUGUUUGAAAGAUGGUGCUGGAUCAGUGAUCAGCUGUCUCUGAAAGCACUCAUGAAUCAUUUUGGUUUUGAUGUUGAUUGUGUUCCUUUUGAAAAGAGAAUUUCAGUUGCAGAAAUAAUCAACCUGUGAGUUGGAUUAUAAUAAGAAUAGAGGAUAAGUGCUUCUAUGAAACACUGCUGUUUACCGAAAAGUACUAUGAACAGUGUUGAAAAAGUGUCAGAGGCCUCAACUUGAUGUUGAGUUUUUCAUUAUUCUGCUUGUUUAUUGUUUGACCAUUAAAAUAAGUAGAAUUUUUCACACCCUUA